This 484-nucleotide ribosomal RNA is filed under the name uncultured bacterium. RNAcentral's name for it is "bacterial SSU rRNA". It matches the Rfam family "Bacterial small subunit ribosomal RNA", at positions 28 to 506 of the family's 1533-position model. The record is from RNAcentral.
GAUGAACGCUAGCGGCAGGCUUAACACAUGCAAGUCGAGGGGCAGCACGGGUAGCAAUACCUGGUGGCGACCGGCGCAAGGGUGCGUAACGCGUGAGCAACAUGCCCUAUACAGGGGGAUAAUCCAGGGAAACUUGGUCUAAUAUCCCAUAGCAUUUAGAGGAGGCAUCUUCACUAAAUUAAAGCUUCGGUGGUAUAGGAUUGGCUCGCGUGACAUUAGCUAGAUGGUGAGGUAACGGCCCACCAUGGCUAUGAUGUCUAGGGGUUCUGAGAGGAAGACCCCCCACACUGGGACUGAGACACGGCCCAGACUCCUACGGGAGGCAGCAGUGAGGAAUAUUGGACAAUGGAUGGAAAUCUGAUCCAGCCAUGCCGCGUGCAGGAAGACGGCCCUAUGGGUUGUAAACUGCUUUUCCAGGGAGAGAAACUUACGCACGUGUUGCGUGACUGACGGUACCCUGGGAAUAAGCAUCGGCUAACUCCGU